UACGGGGUGCAGCAGGCGCGAAAACUAACAAUGCUGGCAACAGCGAUAAGGGAACCUCGAGUGCCAGGUUACAAAUCUGGCUGUCGAGAUGCCUAAAAAGCAUUUCAUAGCAAGGGCCGGGCAAGACCGGUGCCAGCCGCCGCGGUAACACCGGCGGCUCGAGUGGUAACCGUUAUUAUUGGGUCUAAAGGGUCUGUAGCCGGCCGGAUAAGUCUCUUGAGAAAUCUGGCAGCUUAACUGUCAGGCUUUCAGGAGAUACUGUUUGGCUAGAGGCCGGGAGAGGUGAGAGGUACUUCAGGGGUAGGGGUGAAAUCUUGUAAUCCUUGAAGGACCACCAGUGGCGAAGGCGUCUCACCAGAACGGACCUGACGGCAAGGGACGAAAGCUAGGGGCACGAACCGGAUUAGAUACCCGGGUAGUCCUAGCCGUAAACGAUACUCGUUAGGUGUCGGCCACGGUGCGACCGUUGUCGGUGCCGAAGGGAAGCCGUGAAACGAGCCACCUGGGGAGUACGGUCGCAAGGCUGAAACUUAAAGGAAUUGGCGGGGGAGCACCACAACGGGUGGAGCUUGCGGUUUAAUUGGAUUCAACGCCGGAAAUCUUAC
This 605-nucleotide ribosomal RNA is filed under the name uncultured archaeon. RNAcentral's name for it is "bacterial SSU rRNA". It matches the Rfam family "Archaeal small subunit ribosomal RNA", at positions 324 to 930 of the family's 1478-position model. The record is from RNAcentral.